Populus euphratica (Euphrates poplar) is the source of this 684-nucleotide long non-coding RNA. RefSeq lists it as uncharacterized. NCBI's taxonomy places the organism in Eukaryota, Viridiplantae, Streptophyta, Magnoliopsida, Malpighiales, Salicaceae. The record is from RefSeq and is a predicted model, not a curated record. The transcript has 3 exons.
UGUCUUUGCCUCACCAAAAAAACCCUGCUGUGAUUGGGAUCACGGGAACUCUGAGUACAGACCAACUCGACUUCAUCAACUCUCAAGAAUACCCUGAAGAUAUCGAUUCCAUGAUGAAGAGGAUGGAUAAAUUACUUGAUGAUUUUGAUUACCCCACCGUCUGUGUUUUCUCUACUAAAAAUCAGAGAAAGGUGACGGAUAAUUACUUCUACGAGAGUACUGAGAAAAUUUAUUUUUUCUUUGAAGUGUUUUGGUUAAUUCAGAAAAAAGCAUUUGGGGAUGAUGGAAACUUGAAGCAAUCAAAGAAACUAUCUAUUAACAAAGCUGGGAAGGGUAUGCUGUUCGAAAUUUGCCGCUGCUUUCGUUGUUUUUAAUGUAAUACAAUGCUUCUGCAAGUGGGGUUUCCUUACGGUAGUUGUCGAAGAGUAGUACUAUUGCACUUUCUUUUGUUAAAAAAAAGGGAAACCGGUAAGUACUGAUGUUGUUAAUAUGUGUAACAUACUUGUGAUCCAGUAUUCAAAGGUUUCUCUAUCUCUGAGAAAGUCUCGAGCUUGUUAUUAUCGUUAGUUUACGAGGGGCCAGUAAUCAUUCAGUCCACUUGCAUUUUUAAGACAAAGUAUAAUGUUACUAAAGCUGGCAGUUCGUUUUACUUUGUCUUUUUGACAGUUCUUGCUUCUUAUCUAA